AUGGCCCUGAGAUCCUCGACAGCGACGUCGCUGCUCUCCAGAACCCUCCGCCUCCUCGAACCUUCCGCGCACCGGGUCCCGCGGGUCGAAUCGAGAGCCGCGUCGUCGUCGACUGGCGGUGGGGAUCCGUCGGGCCAGGAGCCGGCGCCGGCGCCCAUGGACUCCCCGAUCAAGGUGUUCUCCGAUCUCCGCGGCGGCGGGGCCCGCGGCGCGGCGAUCGACGCGGGCGGGUCGGCGCGGAAGCCGGUCAGCCUGUGGCCCGGGAUGCACCACUCGCCGGUCACCAACGCGCUGUGGGAGGCGCGGUCCAGCAUCUUCGAGCGCAAGAUGGACGCCGGGGGCAACGCCGACGCGGGCCCGCAGACGGACCUGCUCACCAGGACCCCCGCGCAGAGCCGGACCUCCAUCGUCUACAAGUUCGCCGCCGACGACAUCCUCCGCGAGCAGUACCGCGACCCCUGGAACGAGAUGCGCAUCGGCAAGCUGCUCGAGGACCUCGACGCCCUCGCCGGCACCAUCGCCGUCAAGCACUGUUCUGAUGGUGAUAGCACAACAAGACCUCUUUUGUUAGUUACUGCUUCUGUGGACAAGAUGGUCUUAAUGAAGCCCCUUCGUCUGGACACUGAAGUAAAGAUUAUUGGGGCUGUUACUUACGUUGGCCGCUCUUCGAUUGAUAUACAGAUUGAAGUGACUCAGGUUGAUCAAGAUGGUGAUGUGCAGUCAGACCCAAUUGCAUUGACGGCUAACUUCACAUUUGUUGCACGAGAUUCAGUAACCGGAAAAUCUGCUCCUGUGAACCGCCUUUCACCAGAAACCGAGAGAGAGAAGCAGUUAUAUGCAGAGACAGAAGCACAGGAUAAGGUGAAGAAAAGGAAAAGGGAAGAACAGAAGGGAGUGCUUGAGAAGGGGGUACAGAAGCUUGGUGCUGAGGCUGAGAGGCUGAAGAAUUUACUGGCAGAGGGUCGUGUUUUCUCUGAUUUUCCUGCUUUGGCUGAUAGGGAUAGCAUAUUGAUGAAGGAUACUCGCCUGGAGAACUCUCUUAUCUGCCAACCUCAACAGCGAAACUUGUAUGGACGGAUAUUUGGAGGUUUCUUGAUGCACCGAGCAUUUGAGCUUGCUUUCUCGACUGCCUAUGCCUUUGUCGGGCAGAGACCGUGUUUUCUUGAGGUGGACCAUGUCGACUUCUUAAAGCCGGUGGAUGUUGGAGACUUCCUUCGAUUCAAAUCAUGUGUGUUGUUUACCCAGCUUGAGAAUAAAUGGCAGCCCCUGGUAAAUGUCGAAGUCGUCGCUCAUGUAACAAGGCCCGAGCUCCGAAAAAGCGAGAUCUCCAACACAUUCCACUUCACCUUCUCAGUCGGCAGCGACGCACUGAAGAAUGGAGUGAGUAUCCGCAACGUUGUUCCCUCAACCGAAGAAGAGGCACGCCGUAUAUUAAACCGCAUGGAUGGAGAGGGUUUGUUCGAUUGA
Molecule: ribosomal RNA, 1467 nt
Filed under: Triticum aestivum (bread wheat)
Lineage: Eukaryota; Viridiplantae; Streptophyta; Magnoliopsida; Poales; Poaceae
Description: partial small subunit ribosomal RNA
Source: RNAcentral